GUCUUCCAUGGCUUAGUUGGUUAAAGCUCCUGUCCAUUAAACAGGAGAUCCUGAGUUCGAAUCUCAGUGGUGCCU
RNAcentral lists this transfer RNA (75 nucleotides) under Saccoglossus kowalevskii. RNAcentral describes it as "tRNA-Asn". The stretch from base 6 to 70 matches the Rfam family "tRNA", at positions 5 to 66 of the family's 71-position model. Rfam says of the family: Transfer RNA (tRNA) molecules are approximately 80 nucleotides in length. Their secondary structure includes four short double-helical elements and three loops (D, anti-codon, and T loops). Lineage: Eukaryota; Metazoa; Hemichordata; Enteropneusta; Harrimaniidae. The record is from RNAcentral.